Molecule: ribosomal RNA, 401 nt
Filed under: uncultured bacterium
Lineage: Bacteria
Description: bacterial SSU rRNA
Rfam family: Bacterial small subunit ribosomal RNA
Source: RNAcentral
GAGUAACGCGUAUCCAACUCCUUAGUAGGCAUAGCCGCGAAAGUCGGAUUAAUACCCUAUGUUUUCCAAUGAGGACAUCUGAGCUGGAACAAGAUUCAUCGCUAAGGGAUGGGGAUGCGUCUGAUUAGGUAGUAGCGGGUAACGGCCACCUAGCCGACGAUCAGUAGGGUUCUGAGAGGAAGGUCCCCCACACUGGUACUGAGACACGGACCAGACUCCUACGGGAGGCAGCAGUGAGGAAUAUUGGUCAAUGGGCGUGAGCCUGAACCAGCCAAGUAGCCGUGCAGGAUGACGGCCCUAUGGGUUGUAAACUGCUUUUAUGCGGGGAUAAAGUGAGGGACGUGUCCCUUUUUGUAGGUACCGCAUGAAUAAGGACCGGCUAAUUCCGUGCCAGCCGCCGC